Molecule: ribosomal RNA, 847 nt
Filed under: uncultured marine archaeon
Lineage: Archaea
Description: bacterial SSU rRNA
Rfam family: Archaeal small subunit ribosomal RNA
Source: RNAcentral
GCUACCGCUAUUGGAGUUCGAUUAAGCCAUGCGAGUCGCGAGAAAUUAGAUUCUCGGCGUACCGCUCAGUAACACGUGGGUAACCUGCCCUAUGCUGGAUAAUAACCUCGGGAAACUGAGUAUAAUGAUCCAUAGUUCACUACGCCUGGAACGGUGAGUGGACGAAAGCUCCGGCGGCAUAGGAUGGGCCUGCGGCGUAUCAGGUUGUAGGGGGUGUAACGUACCCUCUAGCCCUCUACGCGUACGGGUGUUGGGAGACAUAGCCCGGAGAUGGAUUCUGAGACACGAAUCCAGACCCUACGGGGUGCAGCAGGCGCGAAAACUUGGCAAUGCGAGAAAUCGUGACCAGGGAACUCCAAGUGCAUCGGGUAAGACCGGUGCUUUUCUUGACUCUAAAUAGGUCUUGGAAUAAGGGGUGGGUAAGGACGGUGCCAGCCGCCGCGGUAAUACCGGCGCCUCAAGUGGUAGUCGCUUUUAUUGGGCCUAAAACGUCCGUAGCCGGUCUGAUACAUUCGUGGGUAAAUCAACCAGCUCAACUGGUUGAAUUCUGCGAGGACGGUCAGACUUGGGACCGGGAGAGGUGUGGGGUACGCUCAGGGUAGGGGUAAAAUCCUGUCAUCCUGAGCGGACCGCCUGUUGCGAAGGCGCCACACUAGAACGGAUCCGACGGUCAGGGACGAAGCCUAGGGGCACGAACCGGAUUAGAUACCCGGGUAGUCCUAGGUGUAAACGCUGUGGACUUGAUGUUGGGGGUGCUCCGAGCACUCUCAGUGUCGAAGCGAAGGUGAUAAGUCCACUGCCUGGGAAGUACGGUCGCAAGGCUGAAACUUAAAGGAAUUGGCGGGGG